GAGAGAGAGAGAGAGAAAGAGCGCUUAAGUGAGUUGGAGGCCAACUCUGGCCACUACACUGUCGGAUGGAGGUGGAGGAAGCCGGUGAACCUUCCUGGACGAUAAGGACCCCAGUUCCCUGCCAAGCACGCCGAAAUCCAUGGAGCUUUCCGGUAAGAUCAGGAGGAGAGAGAAAAUGUUGGGUAGCGAGCAUUCUGGCCAUUUUCUCGGCUAUCUGACUGUCGGAUCGGAAAUUCGAGACCACCAAUGGACUCAGGACGGUGAAAUCUUUGAGAUAAGACUGGUCCCACACCGAUUAGACACUGUUCGAAAAAGACGAUCAUUGAACGGUCCAUAUUGCUUGGUGUGAUCGGAUCGAUAAUAGCUCAUCGACGCCCGGGACUGAAUUUUCGGCAGACCUGGCUACCUGAUGGCUCAUCCUGAAAUCUAGUCAAUAUUACAGUUGAUUCUAGCAUUUUCAGACACUAUGGACACGUUCCAGGUGUUAGAUUUGACAUAGGUAAUCAGGGUCAACCAGCUUCCUUCACCCAAUCUCUACAGUCGUCUCUGGUGUACUGCUACAGGAGGAGUUC
This 572-nucleotide unclassified non-coding RNA is filed under the name Hevea brasiliensis (rubber tree). Lineage: Eukaryota; Viridiplantae; Streptophyta; Magnoliopsida; Malpighiales; Euphorbiaceae. The record is from RNAcentral.